This 222-nucleotide small nucleolar RNA is filed under the name Paramormyrops kingsleyae. RNAcentral describes it as "Small nucleolar RNA SNORA73 family (ENSPKIG00000003125.1)". It matches the Rfam family "Small nucleolar RNA SNORA73 family". From Rfam's summary of the family: U17 (SNORA73A and SNORA73B) also known as E1 belongs to the H/ACA class of small nucleolar RNAs (snoRNAs). Vertebrate U17 is intron-encoded and ranges in length from 200-230 nucleotides, longer than most snoRNAs. It is one of the most abundant snoRNAs in human cells and is essential for the cleavage of pre-rRNA within the 5' external transcribed spacer (ETS). The record is from RNAcentral. Lineage: Eukaryota; Metazoa; Chordata; Actinopteri; Osteoglossiformes; Mormyridae.
CCAACGUGGACAUCCUGUGAGGUUGCUCUCAUAUGGCUCUGUCCGUGUGGCGUAUGGGAGCGCAGCACUUUACGGUGCCGUGACGUACAGUCCCGUUCCACGUCGUUGGAUAGUAAGCCAGUCCCCGGCCUUUGGGCUGGUGAGGACGGCGUACUGUAUAUUCCUACAUCUUCCCAGAGCUCUCAGCUAUGACUGGGGAGGUAAACCAUGCAGUGCACAGAU